CCCUUAGAUGUUCUGGGCCGCACGCGCGCUUCACUGAUGCAUUCAACGAGUCUAAAACCUGCUCUGAUAGGGGUGGGUAAUCUUUUGAAUGUGCAUCGUGAUUGGGAUAGAUGAUUGCAAUUUUUCAUCUUCAACGAGGAAUGCCUAGUAAACGCAAGUCAUCAGCUUGCAUUGAUUACGUCCCUGCCCUUUGUACACACCGCCCGUCGCUCCUACCGAUUGAAUGAUCCGAUGAAUAUCAUGGAUUGAGGAUGCAAGUAGGUUCGCCUAUCUUCAUCUUCGAGAAGUGAAGUAAAUCUUAUCAUUUAGAGGAAGGAGAAGUCGUAACA
RNAcentral lists this ribosomal RNA (329 nucleotides) under uncultured eukaryote. RNAcentral's name for it is "partial 18S ribosomal RNA". It matches the Rfam family "Eukaryotic small subunit ribosomal RNA", at positions 1470 to 1796 of the family's 1831-position model. The record is from RNAcentral.